RNAcentral lists this ribosomal RNA (734 nucleotides) under uncultured bacterium. Its description in RNAcentral is "bacterial SSU rRNA". It matches the Rfam family "Bacterial small subunit ribosomal RNA", at positions 60 to 776 of the family's 1533-position model. The record is from RNAcentral.
AGUCGAACGGAGAUUACUUCGGUAAUCUUAGUGGCGAACGGGUGAGCAACGCGUGGGCAACCUGCCCUCUAGAUGGGGACAACAUCCCGAAAGGGGUGCUAAUACCGAAUAUGACAGCAAUCUCGCAUGAGGAUGCUGUGAAAGAUGGCCUCUAUUUAUAAGCUAUCGCUAGAGGAUGGGCCUGCGUCUGAUUAGCUAGUUGGUGGGGUAACGGCCUACCAAGGCGAUGAUCAGUAGCCGGUCUGAGAGGAUGAACGGCCACAUUGGGACUGAGACACGGCCCAGACUCCUACGGGAGGCAGCAGUGGGGAAUCUUCCGCAAUGGGCGAAAGCCUGACGGAGCAAUGCCGCGUGAGUGAUGAAGGAAUUCGUUCCGUAAAGCUCUUUUGUUUAUGACGAAUGUGCAGGUUGUGAAUAAUGACUUGUAAUGACGGUAGUAAACGAAUAAGCCACGGCUAACUACGUGCCAGCAGCCGCGGUAAUACGUAGGUGGCGAGCGUUGUCCGGAAUUAUUGGGCGUAAAGAGCAUGUAGGCGGUUUUUUAAGUCUGGAGUGAAAAUGCGGGGCUCAACCCCGUAUGGCUCUGGAUACUGGAAGACUUGAGUGCAGGAGAGGAAAGGGGAAUUCCCAGUGUAGCGGUGAAAUGCGUAGAUAUUGGGAGGAACACCAGUGGCGAAGGCGCCUUUCUGGACUGUGUCUGACGCUGAGAUGCGAAAGCCAGGGUAGCGAACGGG